Molecule: ribosomal RNA, 151 nt
Filed under: Leptogium sp.
Lineage: Eukaryota; Fungi; Ascomycota; Lecanoromycetes; Peltigerales; Collemataceae
Description: 5.8S ribosomal RNA
Rfam family: 5.8S ribosomal RNA
About the family: 5.8S ribosomal RNA (5.8S rRNA) is a component of the large subunit of the eukaryotic ribosome.
Source: RNAcentral
CUUUCAGCAACGGAUCUCUUGGUUCCGGCAUCGAUGAAGAACGCAGCGAAAUGCGAUAAGUAAUGUGAAUUGCAGAAUCCAGUGAACCAUCGAACCUUUGAACGCACAUUGCGCCCCCCGGUACUCCGAGGGGCAUGCCCGUCCGAGCGUC